UCAGAAUAAUUCCUUUUACUCAACCAUCGACUGCUAAACCCAAUAUUUCAUGGUCAUAACAAACACAGCAUAAACACCUAUUUCACAUAAUCAUCCUUCAUACCAGAGACUUAUAAGGACUUUUAUUAACUGAUCGAUUGAACCAAAAAUAGAAGAAACAAACAGAAUGAUACAUAUACAUAUACAGAUCAAUCUGCUUUUAUGUUUUUGAAUGAAAGAGCCAACUUUUCCAUUGAUUUGAGUGUUGGUGUAGCGUGAGUUCAGUGAUGGGCUGCUGUUGUUCCAACUGAAGGAGAAGGGGGCGACGAUUUUGAUGGCCACAGGCUGUCCGGCGAGGGAGGAGAGAAUUUGGGAUUUGGGAGAAGGGAAUUUUAGGGAUUCAAGGCGUGGAGAGUCAGGAUAGGAAGGAGAGGUGGUGGCCGGCUGGAGAAACGGCCGCCGGAAUUGGGAGGGAGAGAUGAGACAGGGAGAGGAGAUGGAACGAGAGGUCAGAGAGGGAGGUGGCGGUGACGGCACCCUUCGAGUGUGUGUGUGAUCGUUGAGGUAGAAGAAUUCUAUGGACUAUUAUGUCUUGGACUUUCAAUUGAGAUAAGAUAUGGG
This 600-nucleotide long non-coding RNA is filed under the name Salvia miltiorrhiza (redroot sage). RNAcentral describes it as "long non-coding RNA (SMIL_LNC004053)". The record is from RNAcentral. Lineage: Eukaryota; Viridiplantae; Streptophyta; Magnoliopsida; Lamiales; Lamiaceae.